Xenopus laevis (African clawed frog) is the source of this 787-nucleotide long non-coding RNA. RefSeq lists it as uncharacterized. The record is from RefSeq and is a predicted model, not a curated record. NCBI's taxonomy places the organism in Eukaryota, Metazoa, Chordata, Amphibia, Anura, Pipidae. The transcript has 3 exons.
UUUUUCUUUCCGUGGCAAUUUUGGGGAGAAAUAUAACUUUGUAACUUUUUUCUUUUUCUUUUGGUCAAACCACAAACUUCUACGGAGAACUGCACCCACAGAUCUCCACGUUGGAAAGCAAGGAUAGCGUCCCUGAAUAGCUACAGGAGCAGAAGAUUAUUGGAAUGAGAGAAGGGUUUUCUGAACCUGUGAAUGAUGAGUAUUUUAUGGCUUUUUGUUAUUGGUUCUGGUGUCAGCACCCAGAGACUUUCCUAUAGGAGUCGAGAGGAUGGAGUGGGGAGACCCUCUUGUGAGUUAACUGCACAACUGCUCACAACAAUCCCAUCAUAAUAAAGCUGCAUUUUAAGCAUAGUCAAUGGCAAAACUACCGGGGUUGUGAUCACACCAAGGCCUGCACCCUCAACUGGGUCUGACAGAUGCGCUGACAGGAAAUCUGGCUCUAAACUUCAUUCAGAAAGGUGUGCUCUAAGAAGGAUCAAUACUGUAACCCACUUUAAAAUUUCCCAUUAUGCUAAAGUGAUGAAAAUGACAUGGAAUAAACAUUUACUUGUGAUCAGAGGUCUGUAUUGAGAUUAAACAGCCCUUUUAAAGAGCAGCCUUCUUCUACACUAACGUUUUAUAAAAUUUCAGGAACAGGAGAUGAUUUUUUAAUUGGCUGUCAUUUAUAGUUUUACAUUUUUUAAAAAUAUCUUACUCUUUUCAGCUUUCCAAUGGGGCUGGCUGACUCCAUCUAAAGAACAAAUGCUCUGUAAGGCUACACCUUUAUUUCUGUGUUUUUGUAUUACUU